CCGUCAUGUGUACGAGGGAAAAGACGGCGCCAUUGAAGACAUUAUCACAGUGCUGAAGACUGUGCCCUUUACUGCUCGCACCGCCAAGCGUGGCUCUCGGUUUUUCUGCGAACCUGUUCUCACUGAAGAAUACCAUUACUAAACUAUUGCUCUUUGUCACCUGAUACUAUUAAAAGCCUUAAAGAAGAAUAAUAUCACUAAAUUUCCAAAUGUUCACUCGAGGGUAAGGAUUUCUUCUAGCACACCGGUGGUGGAGGAUACACAGAGCUGAUCUUAGAAACCAACCCUACAGAAGAGCCGAUGCGGUGAGACGAAGUGUGAGGCGACGCUUUGAUGAUCAGAAUUUGCGUUCUGUUAAUGGUGGGGAAAUAACAAUGUGACCUGAGACCGCCUUCACGAGAAGGGUGUACAUGAAACUGCCAUUCCAGCCUUCAAUACAGAUGAAAUACUCUCAAGGGCUCAGAUUUAGUAAACAUAUAGGAAUUUAAAAAAUAAUGGGUUCUCCUUUUAACCCCUGUUAACAAGUGCCUAAAAUUGGAAGUAACUUGCUCAGAUUAAUCAAAGCAAUAGGAUUUGACUUA
This 581-nucleotide long non-coding RNA is filed under the name Rattus norvegicus (Norway rat). RNAcentral's name for it is "long non-coding RNA NONRATT018142". The record is from RNAcentral. Lineage: Eukaryota; Metazoa; Chordata; Mammalia; Rodentia; Muridae.